This 244-nucleotide long non-coding RNA is filed under the name Salvator merianae (Argentine black and white tegu). RNAcentral's name for it is "lncRNA (ENSSMRG00000008082.1)". The record is from RNAcentral. Lineage: Eukaryota; Metazoa; Chordata; Lepidosauria; Squamata; Teiidae.
GCACAAAGGGUCUGACAGUGGCACAAAGAUACACAGUGAGGGAGUGAAAACUCUACAGAAAGGGCAAGACAGGAAGGAGACAAGUGACACUGAAGAAGAGGAGGUGGAUGGAAACAGGACUGUGUACCUGUGCGCACUCAACAGCAAGUCAGAUCAAAGGAGAGCUGAUCAGUGCUGCAUGAACUUCAAAGGAAGCUCAGGAACCAGCUCAGGGGCAGGUCUUCCAUCUGCAAUCACUGUGCCA